AGUGAACGCUGGCGGUAGGCCUAACACAUGCAAGUCGAACGGCAGCACAGUAAGAGCUUGCUCUUACGGGUGGCGAGUGGCGGACGGGUGAGGAAUACAUCGGAAUCUACUUUUUCGUGGGGGAUAACGUAGGGAAACUUACGCUAAUACCGCAUACGACCUACGGGUGAAAGCAGGGGAUCUUCGGACCUUGCGCGAUUGAAUGAGCCGAUGUCGGAUUAGCUAGUUGGCGGGGUAAAGGCCCGCCAAGGCGACGAUCCGUAGCUGGUCUGAGAGGAUGAACAGGCACACUGGAACUGAGAAACGGUCCAGACCCCUAAGGGAGGGAGCAGUGGGGAAUAUUGGACAAUGGGCGCAAGCCUGAUCCAGCCAUACCGCGUGGGUGAAGAAGGCCUUCGGGUUGUAAAGCCCUUUUGUUGGGAAAGAAAAGCAGCAGGUUAAUACCCCGCUGUUCUGACGGUACCCAAAGAAUAAGCACCGGCUAACUUCGUG
RNAcentral lists this ribosomal RNA (492 nucleotides) under uncultured bacterium. RNAcentral describes it as "partial 16S ribosomal RNA". It matches the Rfam family "Bacterial small subunit ribosomal RNA", at positions 29 to 507 of the family's 1533-position model. The record is from RNAcentral.